RNAcentral lists this transfer RNA (69 nucleotides) under Talonostrea talonata. RNAcentral describes it as "Crassostrea talonata tRNA-Gln". Lineage: Eukaryota; Metazoa; Mollusca; Bivalvia; Ostreida; Ostreidae. The record is from RNAcentral.
UGUACUAAGGUGUAUUUAUGCACAAAAGUUUUUGGUGCUUUAGGAGCUUGAAGGCGCAAGCUAGUACAA